UAGAAGCAACCAAAAAGGAAAAAAGUAGGAAAAAUUACACAAAUUUGUAACAGAUAAAGAUAAGUCUUUGGAGAAGCGCACCAUUAGGCCGCUAAUUUCACCUACGACUGGAGAACACCUAGCAAUGAUGACUGAUAAAAGCUAUGACUCCAGUAACAGCGAGUCGGAGGAACGACGGACCAAGCACAAAAAGCCAAAGAAGCACAAGAAACACAAAAAGUCCUCGUCCAGCAAGAGUGAGAAGGAAAAGCACGCUCACAAGAAGCACAAGAAGGCUAAGAAACGUCUUCACCGGCAAAGCGAGUCCUCCGAGUCGGAGGCGCCGGAAACAGCGACGGUCAAGCAACCACGUAAUGCCUCAUUGAGCAGCAAGUUUACGGAGAUUAUGGAGAAGGCCAGUCGGAAUGGUUCCGAUUUAAGACUUGCUAAGCAAAAGCUGCCCACGGAUCCCUGUAGCUUAGUUGAGGAGAUUACCAAGACCAUACAGAACAAAGUGCUGCCUGUUCUGGAGGUUGCCAGCUCCGGCAGCGAGAGCGAUGUCCCUGUCGAUGUGGCCAGUCCUGUAAUUUCGCCGAUUAUAGAAGAUGAGCUCAACUUGGAGGACUUGAUGCGACAAAAGGCCCUGCUGCAGGCCCGCCUUGGUGCCUAUAUGUCGGACCCUGAGGCUGAGGAGAUGACCGAGCCACCCCACCAACGCCAGACGCCGAAGAAAGCCCAGCAGGAGUCUUCCCAGCAGGGGAAACCUGUGGCCAAGGCGGCUACCCAUGCAGCGCAGCCCCACAUAGCCGCCAGCAAGUCUGCAGCGCCGCUGGCCACUGCAACUAGUAAACACGCUAUUAUUAAACAGUCUAGCAAGCAUAACUCAAAUGAAUCCGAUGUUAUAUUGUUGGAUGAUUCUAGCGGAGGACAGCGCACGCCCUCGCCCACACCCGAGAAGCGAAGACGCCACGCAUCCCCUUCCCCGGCCACGGCAGCGCCCAGAAGUCGUACCCGUGAUGAGUCUUCGCACGGCCGUAGAGAGCGUCGCUCCAGGGAACGAGAACGGGAACGCCUUCGCAGCCGCACCCCACCCCGUCGCCGAGGAGAACAACCUCCGAUGCAGCCUAGGCCCCGCAGUCGCAACCGGAACAUGGAGGAUCUUCGACAAGAGAUCAACCGGGACAAGCAGCGCGAGAGGCGCGAACACAGCCAAAACCGUGAUCGCGAUAGGGACAGGGAGCGGGAGCGGGAUCGUCGAGGAGCGGAGAGGCAGCCGGCGGCCGAGUCGCGUAUGGGACGCGCUAGGGAUCGGGAUGGUAGGCCGAACCGUCAGCGAUCUCACAGUCGUAGUAAGUUGGAGUCAGACAGGCGCCGAGAGCGCGAGCGCCAAAAGGAUCGAGACCGUGGUGGUUUCGAUCGGGGCCGCGGUGGUGGUCGUGGUGGGGACAACGGGGUCGGCGACCGUGAUCGCUAUAAGGGCUCGCUAAGCGAAGGCCAGAAGAUGCAUGACAAGGAGAGCAGUGACGAGGACAUCAACCUAGACAUUGACAUUAACGAUGACGAAGACGAUGAGGAGCGUAUCAUCGAGCAGCGGCGGAAGAGGCGCGAAGAACUCCUUAAGAAACUGGGUUCUGGUCAGGAAUCCCACACGCCACAGAACUCCAACUCCUACGAGUCGCGAAGCACAUCGCCAGGGUCAUCCCAAAGACCGGCUAGGUCUCCCACUCCGACUCUCUCCGAUGCGGUUCCCCCUAAGGACGAGCCGCAGCUGGAUAACUCGGGUAACGCGAAGAACAGCAAGGACGCCGGUAAGGAGAAGCGAAAUGAAUGGGACAUGUUUGCUGACCAGGAUGUGGAUUCCAAUUUCGAUUCUCCCAACACAAUUGUCCAAAAUAAGCACCAACACGAGAAUCCCGCCCUCACCGACAACUGGGACGAUGCCGAGGGCUACUAUCGGGUUCGGAUUGGUGAGGUUCUGGACAACAGAUACCUGGUUAAUGGCUACACUGGUCAAGGCGUGUUCAGUAACGUUGUGCGCGGCAGAGAUCAGGCUCGCGGGCAGGCCAAUGUAGCCAUCAAAAUCAUUCGAAACAACGAGAUAAUGCAUAAAACGGGUUUGCGCGAGUUGGAAAUUCUCAAAAAACUUAAUGACGCUGAUCCGGAGGAUCGGUUUCAUUGUCUGCGCUUAUACCGCCACUUCUUUCACAAGCAGCACCUUUGUAUGGUUUUUGAGCCACUGGCGAUGAACCUCCGCGAGGUACUCAAGAAAUACGGCAAGAAUGUGGGCUUGCACAUAAAGGCCGUGCGGAGUUACACGCAGCAGUUGUUUUUGGCGCUCAAACUGCUGAAGAAGACUGGUAUUCUGCAUGCUGACAUCAAACCGGACAACAUUCUGGUAAACGAGAACAACCUGAUCCUGAAGCUGUGUGAUUUUGGAUCUGCAUCGGGCAUCAGUGACAACGAAAUUACCCCAUACCUUGUGUCGCGAUUCUAUCGAGCGCCAGAGAUUAUCCUGGGAAUACCGUACGACUAUGGCAUCGACACCUGGUCGGCCGGCUGCACCAUCUACGAGCUGUACACGGGGAAGAUCCUGUACAGUGGCAAGAGCAACAACCAGAUGCUCAAGUUUUUCAUGGAUGUGAAGGGCAAGAUUCCGAAUCGCAUUGUGCGCAAGGGCCAGUUUAAAGAACAGCAUUUCGAUCAGAGUUGCAACUUCUUGUACCACGAAAUAGACAAGCUCACUGAACGGGAAAAGAUUGUUGUGAUGCCGGUCAUUAAACCUUCAAGGAGUUUGCAACAGGAACUCAUCGCUGAUCAAAACCUACCCGAUGAUCAGCACCGCAAGGUGACCCAGCUGAAAGAUCUUUUGGAGAAUAUGUUCGCCUUGGACCCGGCGAAACGGAUUUCGCUCAACCAGGCACUAAUGCAUCCUUUCAUUCAGGAGAAAAUGUAGAGCAGUCUACGGCGUCGAAUAAACUGUGCCGCUGUUAACGGAAGAGCGUGUCUUGGCCAUGGGGCUCACUCAACUGCUUU
This 3012-nucleotide unclassified non-coding RNA is filed under the name Drosophila ananassae. RNAcentral's name for it is "GF10569". Lineage: Eukaryota; Metazoa; Arthropoda; Insecta; Diptera; Drosophilidae. The record is from RNAcentral.